RNAcentral lists this ribosomal RNA (253 nucleotides) under uncultured bacterium. Its description in RNAcentral is "partial 16S ribosomal RNA". It matches the Rfam family "Bacterial small subunit ribosomal RNA", at positions 524 to 776 of the family's 1533-position model. The record is from RNAcentral.
GACGUAGGGCGCAAGCGUUGUCCGGAUUUAUUGGGCGUAAAGAGCUCGUAGGCGGUUUGUCGCGUCUGCUGUGAAAACCUAAGGCUCAACCUUGGGCUUGCAGUGGGUACGGGCAGACUAGAGUGCGGUAGGGGUGACUGGAAUUCCUGGUGUAGCGGUGGAAUGCGCAGAUAUCAGGAGGAACACCGAUGGCGAAGGCAGGUCACUGGGCCGCAACUGACGCUGAGGAGCGAAGGCAUGGGGAGCGAACAGG